CUACAAUGGCAUCUACAGUGGGCAGCUAUUCCGCCAAGGAGUGCGCUAAUCUACCAAAAGAUGUCUCAGUUCGGAUUGUCCUCUGCAACUCGAGGGCAUGAAGGCGGAAUCGCUAGUAAUCGCGGAUCAGCACGCCGCGGUCGAAUACGUUCCCGGGCCUU
RNAcentral lists this ribosomal RNA (161 nucleotides) under uncultured Porphyrobacter sp. Its description in RNAcentral is "partial 16S ribosomal RNA". It matches the Rfam family "Bacterial small subunit ribosomal RNA", at positions 1225 to 1382 of the family's 1533-position model. Lineage: Bacteria; Pseudomonadati; Pseudomonadota; Alphaproteobacteria; Sphingomonadales; Erythrobacteraceae. The record is from RNAcentral.